Molecule: ribosomal RNA, 253 nt
Filed under: uncultured bacterium
Lineage: Bacteria
Description: partial 16S ribosomal RNA
Rfam family: Bacterial small subunit ribosomal RNA
Source: RNAcentral
UACGUAGGGUGCAAGCGUUAAUCGGAAUUACUGGGCGUAAAGCGUGCGCAGGCGGUUUUGUAAGUCUGACGUGAAAUCCCCGGGCUUAACCUGGGAAUUGCGUUGGAGACUGCAAGGCUGGAGUCUGGCAGAGGGGGGUAGAAUUCCACGUGUAGCAGUGAAAUGCGUAGAGAUGUGGAGGAACACCGAUGGCGAAGGCAGCCCCCUGGGUCAAGAUUGACGCUCAUGCACGAAAGCGUGGGGAGCAAACAGG